RNAcentral lists this unclassified non-coding RNA (228 nucleotides) under Hevea brasiliensis (rubber tree). Lineage: Eukaryota; Viridiplantae; Streptophyta; Magnoliopsida; Malpighiales; Euphorbiaceae. The record is from RNAcentral.
GCCAGUUCUAGUAGUAUUAUCUGAUGGUCUGGUUGUAUCCUUCUCCUUAUUCUUGUCCUUGUCCUUCUUGUCUCUGUGCUUUUCUUUACGAUCUUUUUUCUCUUUGUGUUUAUCUUUGUUUCUAUCUUUGUCCUUUUUCUUCUCUCUGUCUCUGCUCUCUUUCUUAUGCUUCUUCUCCUUGUGCUUCUCCUUUGAAGGCAAGUCUACAUUGUCACUCCUAGCAGUGUU